UAUAAUCGGUCGGAUAUUUUUCAUUCAAUUCUAUUAGUAUUAACUAUUAAUCGAAUGCUCACCGCGGAGAGAAUUCUCUUUGUUGUUUUCUCUAAGCCUAUGGUACAAAUCCCUUCAAUUUAUUGUCGAUUCGCGGACUUCCUAGCCCCUUCGGCCAGGAGAAGGUUGCUCUUUCCCUGGUCUGCCCGUGGGAUCCCUCCCACCGCGGAGUCGGAAUGAGCUUCUGGAUCUAGGAGAUGAAGGAGUUGUGUUGUGGAGGAGCAGCAGCCAUAAGGAUUAAGAGCGAGCAUGCAUGCGGCCAUGGUUGCCCCCUUCUCUACAGGACUUUGCUCUGUGAGUUUGGUGGUAAACCAGACAAGGGGUCGCUUCUUCUACCUGUUGCAGGUUUGUGCUUGAUGUGAUUCUGCCAAGAAAGUCCUUGCUAUCUUCCUCUUGGUGCCAUUCUUCCACGAGGAGAGACGAUGGAGAUAGUACCGUUGGCCAGAUUAUUAAGCCUUCAUUAUAUUGAUCUUUAUCCACGAACUUCCUUUUUUAUCGUUGAAAAUUUUGUUAAAUUUUAAAAAAUAUUAUAGUAUUAUUAAAUUACAGUUUACUAGUUGCCAUUU
Long non-coding RNA from Hevea brasiliensis (rubber tree), 605 nucleotides. RefSeq lists it as uncharacterized. The transcript is spliced from 2 exons. The record is from RefSeq and is a predicted model, not a curated record. Lineage: Eukaryota; Viridiplantae; Streptophyta; Magnoliopsida; Malpighiales; Euphorbiaceae.